CCGGUCACUUGUAAAUUUUACUUUACCCAAAGGAAACAGAAACAGAACAAGGAAAUUACUUGACAGACUCUAAUAAUGCAUGUAGUUUAUUAUUACAGAACAACGACAUUUUUACCGGCAUACCAGUAGGCCAGCAUUACGCAUUAUCAACAUACAGUCGGAUCAUGCACCGGACGCUUCAGAUCAUGAUUUACACGCAUAUAGUAUAAUAUAAUAGUAGUGACCCGCGACAUAGUACGACAUGAUAAAGAUGCAUGAAGUUCAGGUACAUGCUAUGCAGGCGCCAUGGGCGGUGGCGGAUCA
RNAcentral lists this long non-coding RNA (303 nucleotides) under Triticum aestivum (bread wheat). Its description in RNAcentral is "long non-coding RNA (TAES_LNC006182)". The record is from RNAcentral. Lineage: Eukaryota; Viridiplantae; Streptophyta; Magnoliopsida; Poales; Poaceae.